AAUGAUUUUGUCGUUUGGCAUAUGUGGCUGGUAUAGCUGAUGAAUAGUGAAAUGGCUGAGCAAGGGAAUUUAAAGACCCUGCUACCAAGAAAUCGUAAUUGCACCCUAUAGGUAUGAUUUGAUUGUUUCUAAUGUUAUCUAUCUUCCAAACUCGAUUACAAAAAAAAUCAGCCACAAGCUGUCUUCUCAUGUCAUUUGUGUGUAUUUGCUAAGGCUAAACUUUGAAUGGAAAGAAAGAAAAUCACCCAAGAAGAGAGAGAAGGGAAAUCGCGGUUGCGUUCAUCGCGCUCUCAAAUAUUGAUUGUGAAGCGCAUUUCACUCUAGCCCGAAUUGAGAAUAAAUCAAAAAAGAAAGAUAUGGUGAAGGUCAUCUUGUCUCUCAAUCCAAAUGCACAUCUGACUAAUGAUAUUGAUAAGCUCCACUUUAUUAUGCUAGAUGAACAUGGCUGCUGACAUACAAAUUAUCUAUUUUAUCAGCUGUAGUUAGAUGAAUAUGGGGAAGAAAACGAAUAUGGUCUUGAAAUGCAUUCAAAUUGAACAAAGAAGCUUAUGGAAGUAGAAAUUUAUCAAUGUUUUCUGUAUUUUUCUAAUAUUCCAGAUUUCGUGUAGGUUUUAGAACUUUCUAUAUUUAAUUUGCAAACCAAUGUUGAUUCGAGUAAUAGGAAGUAGGGCAAUGGAAAAACCUGCAAAGGAGGCAAAACACUCGCCAAAAGUGACUCCAACUUCCCAGGGGCAAUCCUCAAGUAAUCCCAUGGAGGUUGUCCUAUAUUACACAGGGUUUUCAGGUACCUUUGAAACACUACAAUAGCAAUAUAGGAAAGGAUCUAAUACAUCAAUUUAGAAGAUAUCUUGAUUACAGAAAACCUCAACUAUAAUAUCUGAAGAUAUGGUUGGCAUGGAUAUGCAAUGAUAGAUUUUGACAUGACUACCACCGAUUCCUAUUUCAUAAUGGAAAGAUCUAGAAAGUCCAUGAACUUGAUGGAUCAUUGGGUGGAGAUGUUACAACUGGCAGGGGUAAAAUAGUCCAACAACAUCCAAAAAAACAAUUGGAGUGGUAGAGAUACUAGAACUGGAUGCGAAAUUUUUAUUUGUUCGUGCUUCUACACUUUCAGUUCUUGAUGAAUAGUUAUCAAAGGAUACAAAGCUAUAUUGCAUAUUCACUCUGUUGUUGAGGAAUGUGACAUUAUUGUGUUCAUGCAUCAAGUUGAUCCUAAAACUAGGAAACAAAUAACGAAGGUGCUUUUUUGUCAAGAAUGGUGGUGUUAUCAUUUGUCAUGUUCAGCUUAGUUUUCAUAUUUGUUAAAAGGACCAUUUUUCCCUUUUAACAUUUCAAUUUUAUAUUUUGUUACA
Molecule: non-coding RNA, 1349 nt
Organism: Lactuca sativa (garden lettuce)
Lineage: Eukaryota; Viridiplantae; Streptophyta; Magnoliopsida; Asterales; Asteraceae
Source: RefSeq, a predicted model, not a curated record